This 253-nucleotide ribosomal RNA is filed under the name uncultured bacterium. RNAcentral's name for it is "partial 16S ribosomal RNA". It matches the Rfam family "Bacterial small subunit ribosomal RNA", at positions 524 to 776 of the family's 1533-position model. The record is from RNAcentral.
UACGGGGGGGGCAAGCGUUGUUCGGAAUUACUGGGCGUAAAGGGCUCGUAGGCGGCCAACUAAGUCAGACGUGAAAUCCCUCGGCUUAACCGGGGAACUGCGUCUGAUACUGGAUGGCUUGAGAUUGGGAGAGGGAUGCGGAAUUCCAGGUGUAGCGGUGAAAUGCGUAGAUAUCCGAAGGAACAUCAGUGGCGAAAGCGGCUUCCUGGACCAGAACUGACGAUCAGGCUCGAAAGCGUGGGGAGCAAACAGG